CGAGUCCAAUCGUUAGUUCAUUUACACACUCGCGUAGCUUUCUACACACACGCGUAGCUUCUAAUACGAUCGAGAUCCAAUCAUUACGUAAAUAUUAUUACAUGAGAUACAUUUUUAUUACAAUAUUUUGGUACAUAUAUCUUCUAAUACCAAACUGGAAUGAUAAUUUAGCUGAAAAGACAAACAAAAGAAAACUCAAAUUUCAUAAACAUUAAGUAGUUUUACAGGAAAACAGAAGGAAGAAAAGCACGCUAAGGAAGUUUUUGCCAUUUACUCACAAACUUCGCAGUGUUUCCAUUUUCCUCAAUGUAAAGUCCAUCAUUUUUAGCAACAAAUGAGAGUAAUCCUUUCUUACAUGGAAGAUUUGAAAAGCUUGUUCUCACCAAAAUACUAUAA
This 396-nucleotide long non-coding RNA is filed under the name Brassica napus (rape). RNAcentral describes it as "long non-coding RNA (BNAP_LNC001788)". Lineage: Eukaryota; Viridiplantae; Streptophyta; Magnoliopsida; Brassicales; Brassicaceae. The record is from RNAcentral.